UAGGGAAUCUUCCACAAUGGACGAAAGUCUGAUGGAGCAACGCCGCGUGAGUGAAGAAGGGUUUCGGCUCGUAAAACUCUGUUGUUAAAGAAGAACAUAUCUGAGAGUAACUGUUCAGGUAUUGACGGUAUUUAACCAGAAAGCCACGGCUAGCUACGUGUCAG
RNAcentral lists this ribosomal RNA (164 nucleotides) under uncultured bacterium. RNAcentral's name for it is "partial 16S ribosomal RNA". It matches the Rfam family "Bacterial small subunit ribosomal RNA", at positions 355 to 511 of the family's 1533-position model. The record is from RNAcentral.